AUAGAUGUGACAAUAGGCAAGUUUCACCAAGUAAAGCUCAUAGCUCUCGAUGAGAUUUUUGGUUCUUACAAGUCACAAUUUGAAAAGCUCUAUUACUACAUUCAGGAGUUGAGAUCUAUUAAGCCUAGUACAACCAUUACAGUAGGAAUGCAUAAAAUGAAUCUAAAAUAGGGUUAGAAAAUUGGCUAUAUAUUGAUUAUUGAACUCGAUGGAUGUUUCUUACGAAGAUUAUAAAUAGUUAAUUCUUUCUAUGACUGGUAGAGAUGGGGACAACCACAAAUUCUCAAUUGCGUGGGUUAUGGUCAUGGUGGAAUAAAAAAAAGACAUAGAGAUGG
RNAcentral lists this long non-coding RNA (335 nucleotides) under Carica papaya (papaya). RNAcentral describes it as "long non-coding RNA (CPAP_LNC001986)". Lineage: Eukaryota; Viridiplantae; Streptophyta; Magnoliopsida; Brassicales; Caricaceae. The record is from RNAcentral.